This 496-nucleotide ribosomal RNA is filed under the name uncultured bacterium. RNAcentral's name for it is "partial 16S ribosomal RNA". It matches the Rfam family "Bacterial small subunit ribosomal RNA", at positions 28 to 506 of the family's 1533-position model. The record is from RNAcentral.
GAUGAACGCUGGCGGCGUGCCUAAUACAUGCAAGUCGAGCGAACAGACGAGGAGCUUGCUCCUCUGACGUUAGCGGCGGACGGGUGAGUAACACGUGGAUAACCUACCUAUAAGACUGGGAUAACUUCGGGAAACCGGAGCUAAUACCGGAUAACAUGUUGAACCGCAUGGUUCAACAGUGAAAGACGGUUUUGCUGUCACUUAUAGAUGGAUCCGCGCCGCAUUAGCUAGUUGGUAAGGUAACGGCUUACCAAGGCAACGAUGCGUAGCCGACCUGAGAGGGGGAUCGGCCACACUGGAACUGAGACACGGUCCAGCCUCCUACGGGAGGCAGCAGUGGGGAAUCUUCCGCAAUGGGCGAAAGCCUGACGGGGCAACGCCGCGUGAGUGAAGAAGGUCUUCGGAUCGUAAAACUCUGUUAUUAGGGAAAAAAAAAUGUGUAAGUAACUAUGCACGUUUUGACGGUACCUAAACAGAAAACCACGGCUAACUACGU